Molecule: ribosomal RNA, 440 nt
Filed under: uncultured bacterium
Lineage: Bacteria
Description: partial 16S ribosomal RNA
Rfam family: Bacterial small subunit ribosomal RNA
Source: RNAcentral
CCUACGGGAGGCAGCAGUGGGGAAUAUUGCACAAUGGGCGAAACCCUGAUGCAGCGACGCCGCGUGAGUGAAGAAGUAUUUCGGUAUGUAAAGCUCUAUCAGCAGGGAAGAAAAUGCCGGUACCUGAUUACGAAUCCCUGGCUAACUACGUGCCAGCAGCCGCGGUAAUACGUCGGGGGCAAGCGUUAUCCGGAUUUACUGGGUGUAAAGGGAGCGUAGACGGCAGCACAAGUCUGGAGUGAAAUGCCGGGGGUUAACCCCGGAACUGCUUUGGAAACUGUGCAGCUAGAGUGCAGGAGAGGUAAGUGGAAUGCGCGGUGUAGCGGUGAAAUGCGUAGAUAUUAGGAGGAACACCAGUGGCGAAGGCGGCUUGCCGGAUUGUAACUGACGUUGAGGCUCGAAAGCGUGGGGAGCAAACAGGAUUAGAUACCCGAGUAGUC